Molecule: ribosomal RNA, 186 nt
Filed under: uncultured bacterium
Lineage: Bacteria
Description: partial 16S ribosomal RNA
Rfam family: Bacterial small subunit ribosomal RNA
Source: RNAcentral
CCUACGGGAGGCAGCAGUGGGGAAUCCUGCGCAAUGGCCUAACGGCCGACGCAGCGACGCCGCGUGAGGGAUGACGCUCCUCGGAGUGUAAACCUCUUUUGCCUGAGACGAAUUGCCAGCUUAGGCGGGAUUGACGGUACCGGGUGAGGAAGCACCGGCUAACUCCGUGCCAGCAGCCGCGGUAAU